Pundamilia nyererei is the source of this 4563-nucleotide RNA transcript. It is a transcript of the gene named acid-sensing ion channel 1-like, with no coding region annotated. The record is from RefSeq and is a predicted model, not a curated record. The transcript has 11 exons. Lineage: Eukaryota; Metazoa; Chordata; Actinopteri; Cichliformes; Cichlidae.
UGCUGAUAUGUAAAAAACAACUGGAGUAACUAACUCGCAGGUGAACAGCAGAGCUUCAGUCCACUGCUGCUUGCAGACAGACAUAAACGAGCGCGCGGGGGGAGGAAACCUCACGACUCACCACAACAACCAACCGUCUGACUCCUAAACAGGUUUUCAGAUUCCUGAGUAGGGUAUAAAAAAAAUCUCCGGGUCUGACCUGAAAAUCUGCGGACUGACUGUAAGGGGCAUGCGUGCAGCGCAGCUACAGAGGAACUCUUUAUGAACGGGCUGAAGUGCCAAGAAGGAUUUCCAUUUCUCCCACAGCUCCGGCUUUCUUCUCGCUGUCGCGCAGGAACGACGCGUGCUUCACUGGACUUAUAAUCGACCAGCGAAUUUCCAGGCUGAUGAAGCACUUUUUCAGCCCUUAUAUUGUUCUUUGCUUUUCUGCAGCCCAGCGAGAAACCUGCAAAACAUCAUUGUAGCGCAGCGGUGAUGGACAUUCGCUUUGGCGUCUCGGUUAUGCACGCAUUGGAGUCAUUGUGCUUUUUUUCCAAAGGCGCUACUUCUGCACACAUCUCUCGCUCGCCUGACUUUCUUUAAAGCUUAAAAUGUUUUGUCGGUGUGUAUGAGCGAUGGCGUCCGAACCGCACCAGGUGACGGAGAGGUUAUCUGCACGUUUGGACCUGUUCGCGUGGAUAAUGAGAAUUUAUGCCACAGGUGAAUGAAUAUUUUCUGUUUUGAAGCCGCUUUCUGACUCUGGCAUACAACUCGAGAGGGCUGCACGGUGAACAAUGGAUCUCAAAGUGGAAACCGAAGAAAUGGAGUCAAAUCAACCUCCACCCAUAGAAGUUUUUGCGCACAGCUCGACCCUGCACGGAAUCUCUCACAUCUUCACGUACGAGCGGUUCUGCGUCAAACGCUGCCUGUGGCUCGUGUUUUUCUUGGGCUCUCUGACCUUCUUGCUGUACGUGUGCGUGGACCGGAUCCACUUCUACCUCGAGUACCCUCACGUCACCAAACUGGAUGAGGUCACGACCCCGAUCAUGACGUUCCCCGCCGUCACUUUCUGCAACCUGAACGCUUUCCGCUUCAGCCGCGUGACGCGCAACGACCUGUACCACGCAGGGGAGCUGCUGGCCCUUCUCAACCAAAGGUAUGAGAUCAGAGACAUGCACCUGGUGGAGGAGAGCGUUCUGGAGAGUCUCAAGGUCAAAGCCGACUUCCACAACUUUAAACCGCGACCCUUCAACAUGCGGGAAUUCUACGACCGUACCGGCCACGAUAUCAGUGACAUGCUGCUCUCCUGCCACUUCCACGGCACCGAGUGCAGAGCAGAGGACUUCAAAGUGGUCUUCACUCGCUAUGGGAAGUGUUACACCUUUAACGCUGGCGGUGAUGGGCGCACUCCCCUCAUCACCACCAAGGGAGGUAUGGGCAACGGCCUCGAGCUCAUGCUGGACAUUCAGCAGGAUGAAUACCUGCCAGUCUGGGGAGAAACAGAUGAGACUUCGUUUGAAGCGGGGGUCAAAGUUCAGAUCCACAGUCAGGACGAGCCGUCCUUCAUUGACCAGCUCGGAUUCGGAGUGGCACCCGGGUUCCAGACAUUUGUUUCCUGUCAGGAACAGAGGCUGAUAUAUCUCCCCCCACCCUGGGGAGACUGCAAGGUGACGCCAAUGGAGUCGGACUUCUUUGACACUUACAGCAUCACAGCCUGUCGCAUUGACUGCGAAACGCGCUACCUGGUGGACAACUGCAACUGUCGCAUGGUGCACAUGCCUGGCGAUGCCCCCUACUGCACCCCCGAGCUGUACAAAGAAUGUGCUGACCCAGCUCUGGAUUUCCUGGUGGAAAGAGACAACGAUUUCUGUGUGUGUGAGACGCCGUGCAACAUGACCAGAUACAGCAAAGAGCUGUCUUUUGUCAAGAUCCCCAGCAAGGCCUCUGCUAAAUAUCUUGCAAAAAAAUACAACAAAUCUGAGCAGUACAUUAAGGAAAAUAUCCUGGUUUUAGAUAUCUUCUUUGAAGCUCUCAAUUAUGAAACUAUUGAACAGAAGAAAGCAUAUGAAGUGGCUGGACUUUUAGGUGAUAUUGGUGGUCAGAUGGGACUUUUUAUUGGUGCAAGUAUACUGACUAUUCUGGAGAUAUUUGACUACCUUUAUGAGGUAAUGAAGUACAAACUGUGCCGCUGCUCCGAUAAGAAGCACAAGCAUAACAACAACAAUGACCAGGGAACGGUCCUGAGCUUAGACGAUGUCAAGUGUCACGUCAGUAACUUUCACUAAGCUUCUGCAGCCGGGGGCAGAGAGCCACCGCACUCUCUCGCUUGUGAGCAGCUUCGUGGACUUUGUUCUUUGCAGGUUUUCUUUCUUUUCCCACUGCUGGAACAACAGAGGAAGUGCGUGAACUGUGCCUGAUUAAGGUGUGUAAGCGACAUGAUGAAAUAGGGACGUGUGGCUGAGGUAGGCGGACGGCCACAGAGACGCGAGGGCAGGAGAACCAAGAGAAAUAAAACUUAAAAAAUGUUAGAAUAACUGCAUGGUCUUCUGUAAACACCUUUUCAAGACGUAGUAACAGAUACAGUUAAAGGUUACACAGGUUCAUUAUAUGUUCAGUAAAUCAGUGUUAGAAAUCCCAGCAAUGUGGUGUCAGUUUGACUGUUUUUGUGUGAAAUAGUUGUUAAUUUACAGGAAUUUUUGUUUGGACUAAACCAGCUUUCUCUUUUACUUACAGCUGUCUUCCCCUGUUAAACUACGCAUUUUGCCAUCAUACUGUACUACCUCGUCUCGCAGGAUGACAGUGCUAAAAAUAAUUUAAGUAAAACUGACUGACAAAAAGACAGCGAAUGAACCGAUAAACUACCCAAAGGCCCAGCAUAAGACACACAAAGAAUAAUUUGAACUGUAACUCAUGUAGACCUAUUGUAAUGUAGUCCACAAUAAAAAUACAGAAUUGGAAAUGAGCAGUAUAAGCUCUUUCUCACUUUCUCUCAGAAAACAUUUGUUUGCACAUUUUCACCGCACAUUCUUUGUUAUAACCAGUUUAUGUAUGAGAGUAAAAAAGGCCUACGUAUGAUUUUUAUGCACACGCAUAGUUUAUACAUCCAGCCUCUGAUGUUGCGCACGGUUUCGCACUUUGGCCCAUCAUAUGACGCUUGUGAAUGUUAUCAGUAACCUGUGUUUUUCCUGCUGUAACAAGUUCAAAUGCCCGAUGUGAAAAAGAUCUGCCAAGGGAACUACUUGGGUUAAACACGAGCAGGAAGUUAAAAACCAGUUGCUAGAUUCCCCACAAAAAAGAUGUAAUCGAACAAUAUGACAAAGAGACUUAAUCAUCGUGUACUGUAUAGCUUUGCUGUAGAAAUGAGAAAUUUAUUAACACGUGAUGCCAUAACAUUCGUUUAAGAGAAUGUCAUUCAUGUUUACAUGCUUUUUGUCACAUUUUAAGGAAUUUUGCUUCUGUUGUGUCAACAAGGCUGGAUCACAUCAACUAGAAUCAAUAUUUUUGAAUGUUUUUUUUUUUACUUUCGAACGCUUACUUGCAUGUAGCACUGUACAGCAAGCAUCCUAUAUGUACAGUUCAUCCACACCUGCAGUUUGAGCCUUCUUCUGUCCUCGUGUCUGGGUGCGUUUUGUGAGCAUGUAUUCAUUUGCGGUUUUACGGUGAUGAAAGAAAAGUGGAAAGAAACUGCCCUAAAAUGCUCAACAGUGAGUGUGGUGUCAGGUAGAUGGAGAAAAUCUGAGCUCUGCGGAGCAUGUUUGAGAGUUUCCCUCAUGAUUGUGUAUAUACCAAAAUUAGGGAUGCACCGAUAUAUCGGCCAAACCUCGGCACAGCCUGAUCUCCGCCUUGUUGAACAUUCACUUCUCUGCAAACAAGAAUGUAUUUAUUGACGUGAGUGUUUUCUGAUCUUUUUUUCACAAUGCCUAAUGUUUAAGAUGGUGUGUCAGUUAUGUUAUUGAAAAUUUGCUUGUCUUCCUGGCACGCGAAGGAAAAGCAAACAAGAACAAAGCGUGGCGUGCCCAGAAGUUCACAGUCGGUGCAUCCCUACCAAAAAUCUAACCAUGUUCAUUAUUCUGCUCCUAGUUGUUCUCAACAGGAAGUGGGAUCUGAUUAGCGUGUAGCUGUGUGGUGUUACUAUCAAGCACAAUUAUUCCAUCAGUUGUAAUUUAGUGUAAAUAUUACUGUUGACUGUGGAUAAUAAUCCUCGUGUAUUAGCAUAGUCUGGUUUGUCUAACGGUGUACUUAAUGGAUUUAUUUCAAAGAAACUUGCUGUGUGUCUCAAUUCAUUUUUUCUUCUGUAAAUGACUGUAAAUUUGUUUAUUUGUCAAAGACAAAGUAGGGGGGCUGUUUGUUUGUUUUUAUUAAUAUUGCUAGAGUUGAGUCACAGCAGCCGUUCUCAUCAGUACAUGAGAAUUAAAUAGCCAGACUGUUGCUGCAUGAGGUCGCCCAGCUUACUGCUUUUGUUUUUGCCUCCGUCUUUACUUUUGCCUUUUCAUUUGUGAUAUGAAAGGACAGCUGUUUUAGUCUGGUGAUGUAAAGAUGAAUAAUGGACUUGAAUCGGUUGUUACAUUAAAGAUCAAAUGCUAA